CCUACGGGAGGCUGCAGUGAGGAAUAUUGGUCAAUGGACGAGAGUCUGAACCAGCCAAGUAGCGUGAAGGAUGACUGCCCUAUGGGUUGUAAACUUCUUUUAUAUGGGAAUAAAACGUUCCACGUGUGGGAUUUUGUAUGUACCAUAUGAAUAAGGAUCGGCUAACUCCGUGCCAGCAGCCGCGGUAAUACGGAGGAUCCGAGCGUUAUCCGGAUUUAUUGGGUUUAAAGGGAGCGUAGGUGGAUUGUUAAGUCAGUUGUGAAAGUUUGCGGCUCAACCGUAAAAUUGCAGUUGAAACUGGCAGUCUUGAUUACAGUAGAGGUGGGCGGAAUUCGUGGUGUAGCGGUGAAAUGCUUAGAUAUCACGAAGAACUCCGAUUGCGAAGGCAGUUCACUGGACUGCAACUGACACUGAGGCUCGAAAGUGUGGGUAUCAAACAGGAUUAGAUACCCUUGUAGUC
This 460-nucleotide ribosomal RNA is filed under the name uncultured bacterium. RNAcentral's name for it is "partial 16S ribosomal RNA". It matches the Rfam family "Bacterial small subunit ribosomal RNA", at positions 338 to 795 of the family's 1533-position model. The record is from RNAcentral.